This is a long non-coding RNA of Manis pentadactyla (Chinese pangolin), 566 nucleotides long. RefSeq lists it as uncharacterized. The transcript is spliced from 3 exons. NCBI's taxonomy places the organism in Eukaryota, Metazoa, Chordata, Mammalia, Pholidota, Manidae. The record is from RefSeq and is a predicted model, not a curated record.
AAACUGAGGAGGGAGGAGAGCACGGAAGGAGGGGCCUACGGGUGGAAGGAGAGGCCAAAUCUUCAGAGGCUUAGAGCGUCUGCUAAGGAACAGAAAACGAAGUAAAAUUUGCUGGAUGGGGGCCAGGGCUCCGGGCCUAGUGAGCAGCCGGCAGGCAGGAGGGCGUGGAUUCCCUUUACUUCGAUCGGACUAUGCCAAGAAGGCACCCCUUCUCGCUUUGGGAAUGGCGCGGUUCAACCGCGUCAAUCUGUCGCGGUUAGCGGAGCGGCUAGAGGCUGCGGUUCUGCCUCCGAGGUCAUCAGCUGCCUGGACAGCGUUUGUCCUCCAGCCUCCAGACGUCGAUCCUCCAGAAAGGGGCUGGACAGGGCCAGGUUGAGAGAGAUAUCAAAUAUUACACAGUAUCGCUUUAAAAAAUUUGCUGUGGUGGAAACAAAUGAAAUGAAGUCUCCCUGGAAGAAAAUCUGUAUUUCUUGGGAAGAACCAUGGUUUCCUGACAGAAGCUACCCUAUGCAGAAGACAAGUGAAUCCUCAAUAAAUACUGAUUGGUUUACUACUUUUCCCAAGGA